Molecule: transfer RNA, 87 nt
Filed under: Gammaproteobacteria bacterium
Lineage: Bacteria; Pseudomonadati; Pseudomonadota; Gammaproteobacteria
Description: tRNA-Leu
Rfam family: tRNA
About the family: Transfer RNA (tRNA) molecules are approximately 80 nucleotides in length.
Source: RNAcentral
GCCGAAGUGGUGAAAUUGGUAGACACGCUAGCUUGAGGGGUUAGUGACUUUACAGUCGUGCCGGUUCAAGUCCGGCCUUCGGCACCA